GCUAUUUGCCCGGAUCCCGAUCCAUUCUUGAGAUCUUGUUUCUUUCUUUUUCGCAUUUUUCAUUUUUUUUUACCUAUGCAACAUCAGUUCAUUUCUGGUUAAUAGCAGUAGUUUGAGUUGGAAUUUUAUGACUACUGUCAAUCUGUCAUGUGGAAGUGAAGAAGCAUUGGGAGUUGAAACUGGAUAAUAUAAAUAUCUUUGCCUCCCAAGGCUCGAGAACAAUUUAUUGUAGAUUGUAUGAGGAUGGACAUGGGACUGGAUUUGAAUUUUGAAAUGCUGAAACCGUGCGCAGGAACCACGUGAUCGUGUGAGCUGCAAAAGUAGAAUUCUUUGCCAGACACCUUUCAAACCCUGAACCCCCACGACAGAUUUUCUUUCUCACUCUCUCUCGGCCGCACCUGCAUUUUUCGCAAAAUCUUUGGGUUCCUCGAUUUCAACUGAAUUCUUCUCCAUUUUCAAGCAUACUUCAAUCUCAUUUCAUUCAAGGUACCAUGGAAGGAACAUCCAAGAAAUGCUCUCGGUCACAGAAAUACUACUCCAACACCUUCAAAACCAAAGAAGUGAAGAAGCUGUAUGCAAAUAGGUUCAAGCAGAGAGCUGUGCUUGCUGAGCGAGGAGUGACAUGCGCAGAUUUCUCCGGGGAAUUUGCCGAUAAGCGAGGAUUGAGGGGAUCCGAAUACAGUGCACGGAGAUCUUGCUUGAAAGGGCACCCAAUUUCUACCGAAAUCCCAUAUCUUAUGUCUUCCGACAGUGCACAAUGCUGUUCUUCCUCUAGUUCCCACUCCCCUACCCGCAAGAACCCUCGUAGGCAGACCCUCCUCAGCAGGCCAAGAACACGUUCUUUGAAGCCCUAUUUCCUUAGAAGCAGCACUCAAAGGUAUUGCAUGCAGCAAACCAGCACUCUAAAGGUAAGACACAAAAUAUACCUUCUCUCUGGAAUGACUGAUUGUUCUUGAUUGCAUUGAUUGCUGUACUCAGCCUCCGAUUUUUUAUAUGCUCAUAAUGGUUGCAAUGCCUACUACGUUUUCCAUGUUACAUGCUCAAUGGUUAUGUACGUUUCAUUUUUUCGUACAUAACGUGACAAAUCCGGAUUUGGGUGGAUCCCAUCAUUAACACUGUUGAUGGCACGCCAAUUAUGUGGGAGCGUAUUAAAUUGGUAAAAAAAAGCUUGGGACGAUCGGCUAGCAGGGACACAAGCAGUCAUAGUGCCAAAAGUAAGGAAAAACGACCAAUGUUCGAUGAGUCGUCAUUUAAGGGUAAGGCCGAUGGUGACAUUUCAAUGGGGCCUAGUAGCAAUAUGCCCAAAGAAGUUCAAGAAAUAGUAGAGGCAACGAAAGAUCUCUCAAGUGUCGACUCUUACCACUAUACCUUGCUUUCUUCGACCAUACAUAGCACAUGCACAUCGGCUAGGCCCAUGGUUGUAUGUAUGAAACUUCUCAAUAAUGAGUUUGACAAGAUAUCAGUUGAUACCUACUUUAAAGCAAUACGGUCAUGUUAUUCUCAGCAGCAAUUCCGAUGGGAUUUCAUAAGGAUGUCCGACGACCAUAGGAGGUCGUGGUUAUCGCAGUUGUUGCCUUAGAAUAUUGUUUUCUUUAACUUCUUUGUUGUUUUUUUUUUUUUGUUUUUUUAAUAGGUAAAUUUAGCCACGUGUUUAUAAUUCAAUCGCAGUUGUUGCCUUAGAAUAUCCGUUUAUGUAAACUGGUAUCAGUUCCAAGAAACUAAACUUUUUGUUAUAUUCGCGACUUCAAACUACAACAUAUAGGCAGUCAAAGUGAAAUCUUAAAAGGAACAAUCAAGUA
Corylus avellana is the source of this 1799-nucleotide RNA transcript. RefSeq lists it as uncharacterized. NCBI's taxonomy places the organism in Eukaryota, Viridiplantae, Streptophyta, Magnoliopsida, Fagales, Betulaceae. The record is from RefSeq and is a predicted model, not a curated record.